Molecule: long non-coding RNA, 937 nt
Filed under: Vulpes vulpes (red fox)
Lineage: Eukaryota; Metazoa; Chordata; Mammalia; Carnivora; Canidae
Description: lncRNA (ENSVVUG00000016798.1)
Source: RNAcentral
AAAAGGAUGGGAGGGGACGAAUGGGUAGAACACGGUAUCUUUAGGGCACUGAAAUAUUCUGCAUGGUAAAUUUGGUGGAUAUAUGAAAUCACACUUUUGUUCAAAGCCAUCGAAUGCACAACACCAAGCGUGAAUCCUAAUGUAAACUAUGUACUUUAUGGGUGUGAAUCCUUAUGUAAACUCUGAGGAUUAUGAUGUGUCAGUGUGGGUUCAUUAGUUGUAAGAAAUGCGGCACGGUGUGGGGGGGUGAUGUUGAUAAUGGGGCCUGCAUGUGUGGGGUCAGAGGGUAGAUGGGAGAUCUCUAUCUUCCGUUCAGUUUUGCUGUGAACUUAAAACUGCUCUAAAAAUAGACUAUUGAAAAAAAGCAACUAUCUCUUAGAGGCAUCCCCAUGCAGGAAAUUACCCAAGGGACCUGUGAAGGUUUUAACUGUGAGCGAAGGUACUCAACAGAUCUCAGGAAUGGAGGGAAUGAAGAUGACUGCUCUUUGAUGGGUUAUUCAGGGUUAUUUCAGGCCACUUUGGAAAUUCACCCAGGAUGUUUCAGUUGGUGCAGAUUUCAGAUACAUCAUUGCUUCAGGGACUUAUGUCACCUAUGCUGGUCUCAGCAGUGAAAAGGAUGCGUGGAAGUAACCUGAGCAUGAGAAAAAUCUUGUUCGUAAAUUCAAGUGACUCUGUUUUGGAGAGCAACUUUCCCUCUAUGUUGUAUUUCUAUAUUGCGUUAUAUAGCCAAAGACUCUACUGAGAAAAACAUAACUGAUUUGUGUCCCAUGGUACAAUUUCUCAAUAUCCAUUAUUCUUCAGCCUAGCAUGUGAUUCCAUUAGAUGAUUAAAACAUUUUUCUACAUUACGCUUUGAAUUUUCCAGUAACAGAUUUCAAAUGUGUAGUAUGUAUGUACAUAUGUACAAUGGAAUUUGUGCAGACAUAAUCUAUCCUCUG